This 484-nucleotide ribosomal RNA is filed under the name uncultured bacterium. RNAcentral describes it as "partial 16S ribosomal RNA". It matches the Rfam family "Bacterial small subunit ribosomal RNA", at positions 28 to 507 of the family's 1533-position model. The record is from RNAcentral.
GUUGAACGCUGGCGGCGGGCCUAACACAUGCAAGUCGAGCGGAUGAAGGGAGCUUGCUGCUGGAUUCAGCGGCGGACGGGUGAGUAAUGCGUAUGAAUCUGCCUGGUAGUGGGGGAUAACGUCGGGAAACGGGCGCUAAUACGGCAUAGGUCCUGAGGGGGAAGGUGGGGGAUCUUCGGCCUUCACGCUAUCAGAUGAGCCUAGGUCGGAUUAGCUAGUUGGUGGGGUAAUGGCCUACCAAGGCGACGAUCCGUAACUGGUCUGAGAGGAUGAUCAGUCACACUGGAACUGAGACACGGUCCAGACUCCUACGGGAGGCAGCAGUGGGGAAUAGUGGACAAUGGGCGAAAGCCUGAUCCAGCCAUGCCGCGUGUGUGAAGAAGGUCUUCGGAUUGUAAAGCACUUUACGUUGGGAGAAAGGGCAGUAAGUUAAUACCUUGCUGUUUUGACGUUACCAACAGAAUAAGCACCGGCUAACUUCGUG